RNAcentral lists this ribosomal RNA (389 nucleotides) under uncultured bacterium. RNAcentral describes it as "bacterial SSU rRNA". It matches the Rfam family "Bacterial small subunit ribosomal RNA", at positions 28 to 417 of the family's 1533-position model. The record is from RNAcentral.
GACGAACGCUGGCGGCGUGCUUAACACAUGCAAGUCGAGCGGUAAGGCCCUUUCGGGGGUACACGAGCGGCGAACGGGUGAGUAACACGUGGGUGACCUGCCCUCAGCUCUGGGAUAAGCCUGGGAAACCGGGGUCUAAUACCGGAUAUGACUCCAUGACGCAUGUUGUGGGGUGGAAAGCCUUGUGCGGCUGAGGAUGGGCCCGCGGCCUAUCAGCUUGUUGGUGGGGUGAUGGCCUACCAAGGCGACGACGGGUAGCCGGCCUGAGAGGGCGACCGGCCACACUGGGACUGAGACACGGCCCAGCCUCCUACGGGAGGCAGCAGUGGGGAAUCUUGCGCAAUGGGCGAAAGCCUGACGCAGCGACGCCGCGUGAGGGAUGACGGCCU